RNAcentral lists this ribosomal RNA (707 nucleotides) under Enterococcus faecium. Its description in RNAcentral is "bacterial SSU rRNA". It matches the Rfam family "Bacterial small subunit ribosomal RNA", at positions 78 to 772 of the family's 1533-position model. Lineage: Bacteria; Bacillati; Bacillota; Bacilli; Lactobacillales; Enterococcaceae. The record is from RNAcentral.
CACCGGAAAAAGAGGAGUGGCGAACGGGUGAGUAACACGUGGGUAACCUGCCCAUCAGAAGGGGAUAACACUUGGAAACAGGUGCUAAUACCGUAUAACAAUCAAAACCGCAUGGUUUUGAUUUGAAAGGCGCUUUCGGGUGUCGCUGAUGGAUGGACCCGCGGUGCAUUAGCUAGUUGGUGAGGUAACGGCUCACCAAGGCCACGAUGCAUAGCCGACCUGAGAGGGUGAUCGGCCACAUUGGGACUGAGACACGGCCCAAACUCCUACGGGAGGCAGCAGUAGGGAAUCUUCGGCAAUGGACGAAAGUCUGACCGAGCAACGCCGCGUGAGUGAAGAAGGUUUUCGGAUCGUAAAACUCUGUUGUUAGAGAAGAACAAGGAUGAGAGUAACUGUUCAUCCCUUGACGGUAUCUAACCAGAAAGCCACGGCUAACUACGUGCCAGCAGCCGCGGUAAUACGUAGGUGGCAAGCGUUGUCCGGAUUUAUUGGGCGUAAAGCGAGCGCAGGCGGUUUCUUAAGUCUGAUGUGAAAGCCCCCGGCUCAACCGGGGAGGGUCAUUGGAAACUGGGAGACUUGAGUGCAGAAGAGGAGAGUGGAAUUCCAUGUGUAGCGGUGAAAUGCGUAGAUAUAUGGAGGAACACCAGUGGCGAAGGCGGCUCUCUGGUCUGUAACUGACGCUGAGGCUCGAAAGCGUGGGGAGCAAA